Grus americana (Whooping crane) is the source of this 1671-nucleotide long non-coding RNA. RefSeq lists it as uncharacterized. The record is from RefSeq and is a predicted model, not a curated record. NCBI's taxonomy places the organism in Eukaryota, Metazoa, Chordata, Aves, Gruiformes, Gruidae. The transcript has 6 exons.
GCUGAGGUUUGCUCUGUACAUGCUCCAAACUCCAAAUGACCAGCAUAGGAGCAACCAGCACAUCUUAAAACCACCUUUCCCUACAAUGCUAUGGGUAUAGCUCCCUGGAUAAGCUAAGUAGGAAAAGGCAAAAGUAUGUCGGAUUAUGGUGGGGACUUUGAGAAAUUCAAGCUUAAUGAGAUAAAGACAGAUCCAGUGAAGAAACUGAGAAGAAGGAAAACAACCCAGAGUUUGGAAAAGGACAUGGUGAAAGCGGUCCACUCCCUGGUCUUCAGUAUAAGUCCCUUUUUGACCCAAGAGGAGGACACAUGCAUAAGGAUCCUGUGACUCAAGAGCUCUCCUCCAUCUCUGACUCCUGCAUGGCCAAGAAGGAAGAUUUUGUAAGAAACUUGGGAGGGGAGAGGAGAAGAGAAGAGAAGACAGGACAGGACUUCACCCUAUUUCAGUCACAAAGGAGGCGGGGAGAGGAAGAGUGAUUCUGCAUUGAGAAAGUUCUUUCAUCAUGAAAUGUAUGUUGCAGCAGAUUGGACAGAAGAUUGGACAUCCUUUGAGGUGUUAAUACUCAGUCCUGUAUGUGGAUCCUGACCCGGGAACGUGGUUCGUCGCUGGGUCGCUGAGAAGGUCCUGGUGGGGCUCCAGCAGCAGAGGUGGCUGCAGAGGUACUGUCACCGAAAUUUGGAAAACCUCAUCACACCGAGUGCUCCGCCCUGGCAGUCCUGCACCUGCAUCUGCCUGCACCACACUGCAGAGAGACCCGAGGUUGCUCGAAAAAAUUGCUUUAUGGGAGGUUUGCACAGAAUGCGAGGUGCACCACACUUACACCACUGCUAGGGUUCAUCCAGAGCAAUGUGCCAUAGCUCUGUCCCACCAUGGAACAUGCCCCAUGAACACACCCUGGGUGCUGUGGUGCUCAGCUUUGGGAAGUCUCAAGUUUGGGGCAAGUGCUGUUCAUGCCCCGGCACUCUUCCGUUCCUGUGAGCUUCACAGAGCUGUUCCCAGUCCCCCUCCCUCUGCUCCAGCUGUGGCUUGAGCUCCAUGGCCUAACGACAGCCAACAAAUCCCUGGCUUUCCUAACUGCUCCCUGGGGGCUGCCACACCACCUGGCCAGGACCAAGAGCCCGGCACGAGUCAGCAGUGAGAGGAUUGCCUUUCCUGGCUGGAGAUGAGAUGGCCUGUUUGGGUGAGACCUCGAGAUCUGCUGAGCAGAAGUCAGAUGAGAAGAAGUAUGGUCUCUCCUGCUCUUCCUUUCUAAGGCAAUGGCAUUCUUUUGCAUCAUCAUUCUUGUGCUGAUGUUGGGACUUUACCACCCCAAGAAGCAGCCUCGUGGGAGCACAGAAAGCCUUGUGGCCCAGGUCAGGUAGUAUGAUCAGGCAUGAAAGCACUUGGUCAGCUCACAAGGAAGGAAAAAGGUAUUUUUUAAAAGUUUGUUACAAGCACCUUACGGUUGGCAUUGACUCCUGACAUCCAAAAUCUCCUCCAGAAGAUUCCCCACAGAAGGAGCUCCCAGGUGUUUGGGUGGCUUUGCCCAAACCUGGUUCAGAUGAGCUUCUCAGAGCCUUCUCUGCCCAACAUGAGCUUUUAAUCGCCUCAGGCUGUACCAACCCUGUAUCUUGCAGAGGGAAAGAGAGGGAAAACCCCAUGUAAGAUGAGAAAUGUCUUCUACGAAUAAAC